UGAGGAAUAUUGCGCAAUGGGGGCAACCCUGACGCAGCAACGCCGCGUGAGUGAGGAAGGUUUUCGGACCGUAAAGCUCUGUCGAGCGGGAAGAAAUGCAUGGUAGCUAAUAUCCAUCAUGCUUGACGGUACCGCUAAAGGAGGCACCGGCUAACUCCGUGCCAGCAGCCGCGGUAAUACGGGGGGUGCGAGCGUUGUUCGGAAUUAUUGGGCGUAAAGAGCGUGUAGGCGGCCGAAUAAGUCAGAUGUGAAAUCCCUGGGCUUAACCCAGGACGUGCAUUUGAAACUAUUCGGCUGGAGUAGGGGAGAGGAAAGUGGAAUUCCUGGUGUAGAGGUGAAAUUCGUAGAUAUCAGGAGGAACACCGGUGGCGAAGGCGACUUUCUAGCCCUAUACUGACGCUGAGACGCGAGAGCGUGGGUAGCAAACAG
RNAcentral lists this ribosomal RNA (429 nucleotides) under uncultured bacterium. RNAcentral describes it as "bacterial SSU rRNA". It matches the Rfam family "Bacterial small subunit ribosomal RNA", at positions 355 to 775 of the family's 1533-position model. The record is from RNAcentral.